ACAAUCUUCCAAGCAAGAUUUGGCGCAAUCUUCCUUACUAACGUUCGCCUUACCGUCUGCCUCCCUCAGUACGGUGGUGACGUCACUCAAUUCCACCAUAUCCACUUCCUCUUCCUUCUCCCCUCCUUCGCAAAACCCUAACCCUAAACUCGCCUGCCCCUCGCUGCAGCCUAAAUCCUUGUUCGAGAGCCGGAUGCAGGAGCAGGAAUCGGAGGAGGAUGUGCAUAUGCCGUAAGGCUUACAAGCCGAAGGAAGAUCGCAAGUCGUGGUCAGCGAUUGGAAUGCUGCCGAGAACUUCCUUUCCUCCGGUGAGUAGAAAUAGAGUCCCAAGUUUCCGGUUCGAUUCGAUAGUGAUAAAAACCGGAGAGGCUCGACCCUGUCCGACUGGAUUUGGGCGAUUUUCUGGUUCUCGUCGUCGUAGAGCUCUAGUGCCUUUGAAGCCAGCUUGAUGAAGUUGAUGUUUCGGUUCUUUGUAGGCUUGAAUUCCCAGUAGGAAUAGUUCAAUUUUCCUGAAAUCAAAUGCAGAGCUAUCCUGUUCCGGUGAAUUUCGAACGUGUAGUAGAAUGCGGUUGAAUUGGAUGCGGCUGCGACGGUGGCGGUUGAAGGAAAAGAAGCCAAUCGGGUGGCGACGUUCAGCCUAUGCCCCCACAAGAUUACAUCCGUUGGGAAGUUGAAGCUCUGCCAUUUGACUCUGCCGAUUG
RNAcentral lists this long non-coding RNA (701 nucleotides) under Linum usitatissimum (flax). RNAcentral's name for it is "long non-coding RNA (LUSI_LNC002011)". The record is from RNAcentral. Lineage: Eukaryota; Viridiplantae; Streptophyta; Magnoliopsida; Malpighiales; Linaceae.